RNAcentral lists this ribosomal RNA (452 nucleotides) under uncultured bacterium. Its description in RNAcentral is "bacterial SSU rRNA". It matches the Rfam family "Bacterial small subunit ribosomal RNA", at positions 28 to 507 of the family's 1533-position model. The record is from RNAcentral.
GAUGAACGCUGGCGGCGUGCCUAACACAUGCAAGUCGAGCGAUUCUCUUCGGAGAAGAGCGGCGGACGGGUGAGUAACGCGUGGGUAACCUGCCCUGUACACACGGAUAACAUACCGAAAGGUAUGCUAAUACGGGAUAACAUAUUUUGGUCACAUGGUCGAAAUAUCAAAGCUCCGGCGGUACAGGAUGGACCCGCGUCUGAUUAGCUAGUUGGUAAGGUAAUGGCUUACCAAGGCGACGAUCAGUAGCCGACCUGAGAGGGUGAUCGGCCACAUUGGAACUGAGACACGGUCCAAACUCCUACGGGAGGCAGCAGUGGGGAAUAUUGCACAAUGGGCGAAAGCCUGAUGCAGCAACGCCGCGUGAGCGAUGAAGGCCUUCGGGUCGUAAAGCUCUGUCCUCAAGGAAGAUAAUGACGGUACUUGAGGAGGAAGCCCCGGCUAACUACGUG